This 216-nucleotide ribosomal RNA is filed under the name Glomeromycotina sp. Its description in RNAcentral is "partial small subunit ribosomal RNA". The stretch from base 40 to 216 matches the Rfam family "Eukaryotic small subunit ribosomal RNA", at positions 686 to 864 of the family's 1831-position model. The record is from RNAcentral. Lineage: Eukaryota; Fungi; Glomeromycota.
GGGUCAGUAGGUUGGUCGUGCCACCGGUACGUACUGGUCUCACUGAUUCCUCCUUCCUGAAGAACCGUAAUGCCAUUAAUUUGGUGUUGCGGGGAAACAGGACUGUUACAUUGAAAAAAUUAGAGUGUUUAAAGCAAGCUAACGCUCGAAUACAUUAGCAUGGAAUAAUGAAAUAGGACGAUCGAUCCUAUUUUGUUGGUUUCUAGGAUUGACGUA